Molecule: ribosomal RNA, 401 nt
Filed under: Pantoea agglomerans
Lineage: Bacteria; Pseudomonadati; Pseudomonadota; Gammaproteobacteria; Enterobacterales; Erwiniaceae
Description: bacterial SSU rRNA
Rfam family: Bacterial small subunit ribosomal RNA
Source: RNAcentral
GCGUUAAUCGGAAUUACUGGGCGUAAGCGCACGCAGGCGGUCUGUCAAGUCGGAUGUGAAAUCCCCGGGCUCAACCUGGGAACUGCAUUCGAAACUGGCAGGCUAGAGUCUUGUAGAGGGGGGUAGAAUUCCAGGUGUAGCGGUGAAAUGCGUAGAGAUCUGGAGGAAUACCGGUGGCGAAGGCGGCCCCCUGGACAAAGACUGACGCUCAGGUGCGAAAGCGUGGGGAGCAAACAGGAUUAGAUACCCUGGUAGUCCACGCCGUAAACGAUGUCGACUUGGAGGUUGUUCCCUUGAGGAGUGGCUUCCGGAGCUAACGCGUUAAGUCGACCGCCUGGGGAGUACGGCCGCAAGGUUAAAACUCAAAUGAAUUGACGGACGCCCGCGCGAGCGGUGGAGCA